AUGUCGGGUCCUCCGGGUCCUCCGGGCGUACCGGGGCCCCCUGGUGGUGGAUCAGUGGAGUCAGUGGAUGACCUUGCUAGUCGCGUCAUUGCAUACAUCCAGAGUGGAGGUAUUGCUAGUGGGGUGCCUGGACCUCCAGGCCCGCCUGGCGCUCCAGGUGGAGGCAGUACAUCGCUAAAUGACAUCAUCAGCCUUCUACAGAGGGAGGAAGUGCGACACUACAUCGUCGGUCCUCCUGGCCCUGCUGGACCUCCUGGCAUCCCAGGGAUCCCAUGGAGAGGAGGCUAUGGCUUUAAUACCAAUGAGGUGGCUGGACGAGUCCUCAAUCUAAUGAAUGAGCAGGGUAUGGUGGGCAUGCUCGGACCCCCUGGACCUCCCGGCCCACCGGGCCUACCUGGGUCCUACAGUGACAUCUCUUAUCUUCUGCAAAAUGCUGAAUACAAAGGCGUCUUGGGUGCUCAGGGGCCUCCUGGUCCACCUGGUGUCCCAGGCCCUGCUGGCCCUCAAGGCCCCGCCGGUCCUUCAGGACAGGCCCCCUACAGCAGCUCUGGAUACAGGCUGGAGGAGGUCAAGGACUACAUACAGAGUGAUGGUAUAAGAGGGGGAAUGUUUGGGCCUCCAGGCCCCCCAGGUCCCCCUGGACCCCAGGGACAUAAGGGAGAGCAGGGUAGCUCUGGGUACGGCCACGCCUUCGACCACAGGACCAGCGAGGGAAGAAGGCUGGCUGAGACUGAGACAGACUACUCCAAUAUAGCGGUCCGAGUGACUGACUACAUCAAGUACCAUGGUCUGUUGAGGGAUGUGGUUGAGAACCAGUCUCAGCUGGAGAAGUCACAGGUUGUUCAAGGACCCCCAGGACCCCCUGGCCCUCCCGGUGCACCAGGAUUCAGCCGUGUGUUUGGUUCCCAUAGUAACGCCACUGACCUUGUGGAAUACAUCAGAGCCCAUGGAAACAUUGUGGGACCCCCUGGAAGGCCAGGACAGAAAGGGGACAUAGGACAUACAGGUCACAAAGGCGAGAGAGGACUAGAUGGCAUCCCAGGAAGGACAGGCCUCAAUGGUCUGGAGUGGAAAAGGGGGGGAAAGGGGGAGAAAGGAGAAUACACACUUGUGACGCACAGAAGAAAGAGGAAUGUUGGUGUUUGA
Long non-coding RNA from Salmo trutta (river trout), 1146 nucleotides. Lineage: Eukaryota; Metazoa; Chordata; Actinopteri; Salmoniformes; Salmonidae. The record is from Ensembl.